RNAcentral lists this ribosomal RNA (253 nucleotides) under uncultured bacterium. Its description in RNAcentral is "partial 16S ribosomal RNA". It matches the Rfam family "Bacterial small subunit ribosomal RNA", at positions 524 to 776 of the family's 1533-position model. The record is from RNAcentral.
UACGUAGGGUGCGAGCGUUGUCCGGAAUUAUUGGGCGUAAAGGGCUCGUAGGCGGUUUGUCGCGUCGGGAGUGAAAACUCAGGGCUUAACCCUGAGCCUGCUUCCGAUACGGGCAGACUAGAGGUAUGCAGGGGAGAACGGAAUUCCCGGUGUAGCGGUGAAAUGCGCAGAUAUCAGGAGGAACACCGGUGGCGAAGGCGGUUCUCUGGGCAUUACCUGACGCUGAGGAGCGAAAGUGUGGGGAGCGAACAGG